AUUUUGCACCGCCUCCGGCGGGCAAAAUUGGUGAGGAAAGUCCGAACACUUAUCCGCCGUUGAGGCGGAAAGAGUAGCGGGUAACGCCCGUCCGAAGUAAUUCGCGAGGUGCGAGCAGAGACGCUUCCAACGAAAGAAGGGAGCAUCCGCCGUAAGACGGAUGAGCUCCCAAGGUAACUUGGGAGGUGAAACGGCUAAAUCCUUACUUGAGUGCAAGGUCGUACUGUUUCUCUAAAGAAACUUUGUGCCGCUAGAGGUUAUCGGCAACGAUAAUCGGAGAUAAAUGGCUAUCGCCAUCCGAAAGGAUGCGUACAGAAUUCGGCUUAUAGGUACGGAAAACAA
RNAcentral lists this RNase P RNA (342 nucleotides) under bacterium. RNAcentral's name for it is "RNase P RNA component class A". It matches the Rfam family "Bacterial RNase P class A". Rfam says of the family: Ribonuclease P (RNase P) is a ubiquitous endoribonuclease, found in archaea, bacteria and eukarya as well as chloroplasts and mitochondria. Its best characterised activity is the generation of mature 5'-ends of tRNAs by cleaving the 5'-leader elements of precursor-tRNAs. The record is from RNAcentral.